AUUGAACGCUGGCGGCAGGCCUAACACAUGCAAGUCGAACGGUAACAGGAAACAGCUUGCUGUUUCGCUGACGAGUGGCGGACGGGUGAGUAAUGUCUGGGAAACUGCCUGAUGGAGGGGGAUAACUACUGGAAACGGUAGCUAAUACCGCAUAACGUCGCAAGACCAAAGAGGGGGACCUUCGGGCCUCUUGCCAUCGGAUGUGCCCAGAUGGGAUUAGCUAGUAGGUGGGGUAACGGCUCACCUAGGCGACGAUCCCUAGCUGGUCUGAGAGGAUGACCAGCCACACUGGAACUGAGACACGGUCCAGACUCCUACGGGAGGCAGCAGUGGGGAAUAUUGCACAAUGGGCGCAAGCCUGAUGCAGCCAUGCCGCGUGUAUGAAGAAGGCCUUCGGGUUGUAAAGUACUUUCAGCGGGGAGGAAGGGAGUAAAGUUAAUACCUUACUCAUUGACGUUACCCGCAGAAGAAGCACCGGCUAACUCCGUG
RNAcentral lists this ribosomal RNA (489 nucleotides) under uncultured bacterium. Its description in RNAcentral is "partial 16S ribosomal RNA". It matches the Rfam family "Bacterial small subunit ribosomal RNA", at positions 30 to 507 of the family's 1533-position model. The record is from RNAcentral.